RNAcentral lists this ribosomal RNA (540 nucleotides) under Moritella sp. 1L. RNAcentral's name for it is "bacterial SSU rRNA". It matches the Rfam family "Bacterial small subunit ribosomal RNA", at positions 155 to 688 of the family's 1533-position model. Lineage: Bacteria; Pseudomonadati; Pseudomonadota; Gammaproteobacteria; Alteromonadales; Moritellaceae. The record is from RNAcentral.
AACGACUGCUAAUACCGCAUACGACCUACGGGUGAAAGGGGGCCUCUUCUUGAAAGCUCUCGCGAUUAGAUGAGCCCAAGUGGGAUUAGCUUGUUGGUGAGGUAAAGGCUCACCAAGGCGACGAUCCCUAGCUGGUCUGAGAGGAUGACCAGCCACACUGGAACUGAGACACGGUCCAGACUCCUACGGGAGGCAGCAGUGGGGAAUAUUGCACAAUGGGGGAAACCCUGAUGCAGCCAUACCGCGUGUAUGAAGAAGGCCUUAGGGUUGUAAAGUACUUUCAGCGAGGAGGAAAGGGCAUAAGUUAAUACCUUAUGUCUGUGACGUUACUCGCAGAAGAAGCACCGGCUAACUCCGUGCCAGCAGCCGCGGUAAUACGGAGGGUGCAAGCGUUAAUCGGAAUUACUGGGCGUAAAGCGCAUGCAGGCGGUUUGUUAAGCGAGAUGUGAAAGCCCCGGGCUCAACCUGGGAACUGCAUUUCGAACUGGCAAACUAGAGUUCUUGAGAGGGUGGUAGAAUUUCAGGUGUAGCGGUGAAAUG